This is a long non-coding RNA of Gallus gallus (chicken), 900 nucleotides long. Lineage: Eukaryota; Metazoa; Chordata; Aves; Galliformes; Phasianidae. The record is from Ensembl.
GGGCGCUCGGUCGGGCCGCGGGCGCUGCGUUGCGUUGCGUUGCGUUGCGGAGGUCGGACGCCGAGCGAAGCGAGCCGCCGGGCGGCUGCGGGCAAACGUGGCCGAAUACGUGCAACGUAAACACGGACGGUUCCCUUUGUGAUGUUAAAGCGCUCCCUUUCUGCACCUCAGCUCCCCGCUCGGAGCGUCGCGCGGUGGUUACACCGAGGCGGGGGGCGGUCCCGUUUCGGACGCGGGGUUCUCAGUCGGCGGGUGGAAACGUGAAUUUCCGAGCUCGGCUCCCGGCUGCGCUCGGGCGGAGCGGGAGAGGAAAUCCCGGCGCCCGCAGGAUGGGGCCCGCGGUUCCGAGGCGCUCCCCACGUGCGUCCGCUUUAGGCCUCGCGGCACCGCCAGGGCGAACGGCUCCGUUGGGCGCACGCUGCGCUGCCGGCGCGCCGCUCCGACGCUUCGGCGUAGCGAUGAGCGCCGCUGCGACGACGGACGGAGCGCCGAGCCCGGCGGACGGCAUUCCGCGGAUUUGCGUUUUGCCAGGAAGCGGCGAGGCGUGACGGCGGCAAGGUGGGCUCCGGGGCGGCCGUCCUCCGUCCCGUGGCACCGCUGUCACAUAGAGACACGACGCAGAAGAAAAGACAUAAAAUGGAGGAGAAGAAAAACCAUAAAAUGGAGGAGAGGACAAAGCUCAGAGCUGCGGGUUUACGAAGGAAAGUUGCCGAAGAAUGACGGGAUGUGGCUGAUAAGAGGGACCCAUAUUUAGGCAACGUGAAGAUUGUGACAGCGUCAGCUACAGUGAGGGAAUGCAGAUGUAAAAUCAAAACAUCUGUUACGGUAACUUCAGCUCACCCUGUUAUUCCUGGAUGUUGCGGUGUCAUAACUCACAUUCCUGCAUCGUCCUGUCGUAAG